Molecule: long non-coding RNA, 341 nt
Organism: Mobula hypostoma (lesser devil ray)
Lineage: Eukaryota; Metazoa; Chordata; Chondrichthyes; Myliobatiformes; Myliobatidae
Exons: 3
Source: RefSeq, a predicted model, not a curated record
CACAGUGGAAAUCAAUCCCUGGAGGAGAUGAGGACUUCUAUCUCAGCCCCAAACAAGUGACGAUCUUACAGAUGCGACGGGCUUGCUGAAAUGGAGUUUAUCCUAAGUGGAUAGGCCUGACAGUGUGACACUGCUGAAUCUUCAAGUGGCAGGACUACAACCAAAAUGGUCAUGACAUGGUCAUCGUUCAUGAUUAUCUCCACAUGCCACACAGUCAGCACUGGUGUGCCAUAGGGACCCUGGAUAAAACCAUAAGAGGAAAUCAAGGUUCUUGAAGGAAUGGAAGAGAUGAUCAAGUAGUUCAGAACAAAUAUGGAAUAGACUAAUUGUAAAUAAAGAAC